RNAcentral lists this long non-coding RNA (1214 nucleotides) under Homo sapiens (human). RNAcentral describes it as "HSALNT0045892". The record is from RNAcentral. Lineage: Eukaryota; Metazoa; Chordata; Mammalia; Primates; Hominidae.
GGAACAUUUUGUGAAGAAAUAAUGGUUGAAAACUUAUCAAGUUUAGUAAAAAGACGUGAAACCCAUAGAUUCAAGUAGCUGAACAAACUCCAUCUUGGGAAAAACCACAGAUAACCAUGUAUAGACACAUAUUAAAAUUCAUGGACAAAGAUCUUGAAAGCAGUUAGAGUGAAAUAAUGGGAAAUCAGCAAUUCAAAUGACUGCAUAUUUCUCAUUAGAAACCUUGGAAGCCAGAAGGAAGUGGCCCAACAUUUUCAAAAUACUGAAAGAAAAGUUACAGAUGUACUUGUUCAUUUCUCUCUUUUUCUCCUUUUUAAAAUUUUCUUUUUCACCUUCUUUUCUUUUUUUUUUUCUUUUCUCCUGCUUUUCUCCAUCUGCCUUUCUUCUUUAACUUGACCAGUAACUCCCACAAGCAUUGCUUAGCAUUUGGACCUAAAGAAUUUACUAAUCCCUGCAGCAAAACUUCCUAAUUAACUGUGACUUUCUUGAGUUUAAUUCUAGAUAAUGGUUUGUUUGAGCUGUGCCUUCGUUGUUAAAAUAUCAAGGAGCAUACUUUAAUCUGUGCGUGUAGCUACAUACAGUUAAUUUUUAAAUGAGCUUUAUGCUGGUCUUCAUUUCCACAUGUCAGUUGCUUUCUAAAGGGAAUUGAAGAAAAAUUGAGCAAGUAUCCAUUUAUUCAGAAUGUAAAUGUUUGUUCUGAAUAAUUAAAUGUUCUAGUUUGCUAAAAGUUACCAAAUUCUUUAAAUAAAUUACCAGUAUUCAAAUAAUUUUAAUAUACUAAAGUAUAGUUACAUAGAAAUUAAAUUCCAGAGGUUGAAAGAUACUUCAGGAACUUUAAACAUUUCACAGUCAAGUCUAACAAAUACUAAUUGUUAUUCUAGCCUGGAGAGAUUAGUUUAGAGUUUAUCUAAUUGAGUAUCUCCAAAAUUGAUACUUAAAGUAAACCAUAGUAUAAUUUUUGCUUGCUUGAAAUUCGUGUAUGUGUUUCAAGAAAUUAAAUGUAGAAAGAAGUAAUUUUUUUUUCUAUAUUUGGGAUAAAUAGGAAUUGAUUUUAGUAUUUCAUUCAUGAAGUUCAUAAUUGUUACCUUCUACUCUAUCAGUAGAAGAAAUGGAAACUCCCAGAAUUGAUGAAAGCCAUUGACUGCCCCUUGUGCGUGAUACAGAUGGUCAGCUUAGUACAGCCUGUCAGUUCGACCUUAAGACUUUAGCCCUUC